GUUUAACAACAAGACCAACUUUGCUGGAAAAACAAGCCUUAAAAAUUAAGUUGUUAGAAGCUAGUAGAUCAACUAAGAAUUAGCGUAAAUUGUACAAAGAAAAAAAGAAAGAAAGAAAAAAAGAAAAGGAAAACAAAUAAGUUAACGCUUGAGCCGUAUGCGGUGAAAGUCGCACGUACGGUUCUGAGGAGGGGAAAGAGUGAAAACUCCUACCUAUUCCAACCACAGUACUUUGCAAAGACGUAAGUCUAAGUAUAAGGUAUGAAAUCUGCCCGAUGUCAUAGGCUAACUGACUUUCUAUUUUUAGGAAAGAAAGGAACCCCUGAUCAAUGGCGGCCUUAACUAUAAGGGUCCUAAGGUAGCGAAAUUCCUUGGCCGUUAAAUGCGGUCCAGCAUGAACGAUCCCAUGAUACAACAGCUGUCUCCGCGAUAGACUCAGUGAAAUUGGAAUAGCUGUGCAGAUACAGUUUACCCAUAGUUAGACGGGAAGACCCUAUGCAGCUUUACUGUAACUAGUUAUUGCUUGCGAUCGGAUUAGGUUGUAGAGUAUAAGGUAGUCGAUUAGACAAGGGAGAUUCCCCGUGAAACACCUUUACCUAAUAGGCCGUAAGCUGGUGGAGAUAUCACUCUACCCUUUUGACAUUGCUUUUUUAUUUAAUUGAGAAAAAAAAAAAAUAAAAAAGCAAAUAAAAGUUUUUGUUUAACUAAACAUUGACUUAUAUAAAUAUAGAUUGCAAAUUUAGCAAACUCUAAUAAGAUAAAGUAGCAAUUAUUAGUUUUUUAACAUAAUUGUGACAGUGACUAGCUGGCAGUUUUUGUGGGGCGCAAUUCUCAAAAAAAGUAUCUGAGUAAGUCCGAUUAAUUAAAAGCACUCCAUAAUUAUUAGUAAUAAUAAUUAAGCUUAAUUUAAAACAUAAAGGUUUGGUUAAACCCAAUGGAAAUGGGCAGAUGAAUUCUCUAAAAUUUGCAGCGUCGUUAAAAGAGGUUUGAAUAAACACUGACACUGCAGCAAAAAGAAUUUGGUCGACUAUAUAAUAAUUAUAGUCGAUUAAGCAUAAUCUAACAACAAGUGUAAUGGCAUAACCAAGCCUAACUGCGAGACCUACAAGUCGAGCAGACACGUAAGUGGGGCAUAGUGACCAGAUGGUUCAUCAUGGAAUGGCCAUCGUUUAACGAAUAAAGUUACGCUAGGGAUAACAGGCUAAUGGCGCAAGAGAGUCCAUAUUGGCCGCGCAGUUUGGCACCUCGAUGUCGACUCGACCUAUCCUCCCGGUGUAGGUGCUGGGAAGGGUUCGGCUGUUCGCCGAGUAAAAGGUCACGCGAGUUGGGUUAAGUACGUCGUGAGACAGUACGGUCCCUAUCUUCUAUGGGAAAUUAGAGUCGAAAAAGGAUCUGUCCUUUGUACGCAAGGAUUUGGAUGGACUAACCUCUUGUUUACCUGUUGUUUAUUUUUAAAGCUAAGAUUAAUUUCGCAGUUUUGUAAUUCAUAUGGCGUCGAAAAAAUAACUA
This 1509-nucleotide ribosomal RNA is filed under the name Taphrina flavorubra JCM 22207. Lineage: Eukaryota; Fungi; Ascomycota; Taphrinomycetes; Taphrinales; Taphrinaceae. The record is from RNAcentral.